RNAcentral lists this ribosomal RNA (881 nucleotides) under uncultured bacterium. RNAcentral describes it as "bacterial SSU rRNA". It matches the Rfam family "Bacterial small subunit ribosomal RNA", at positions 27 to 885 of the family's 1533-position model. The record is from RNAcentral.
GAACGAACGCGGCGGGCGUGGAUAAGACAUGCAAGUCGGACGGGAUUUUCCGUUGUAGCAAUACGAUGGAAAGUUUAGUGGCGAACGGGUGCUUAACACGUGGGCAACCUGCCAGGAAGUGGGGGAUAGCUCGUCGAAAGGCGAAUUAAUACCGCAUGUGAUUAGAAUGGACAUCCAUUCGAAAUUAAAGUCGGGGCAACCUGACGCUUCUUGUGGGGCCCGCGGCCUAUCAGCUAGUUGGUGAGGUAACGGCUCACCAAGGCUUUGACGGGUAGCUGGUCUGAGAGGACGACCAGCCACACUGGGACUGAGACACGGCCCAGACACCUACGGGUGGCAGCAGUCGAGAAUUUUUGACAAUGGGGGAAACCCUGAUCGAGCGACGCCGCGUGGAGGAUGAAGGUCUUCGGAUUGUAAACUCCUGUCAUUGGGGAACAAUGCAUCGGUAUUAACUGUAUCGGUGUUGAUAGUACCCGAAGAGGAAGAGACGGCUAACUCUGUGCCAGCAGCCGCGGUAAUACAGAGGUCUCAAGCGUUGUUUGGAUUCAUUGGGCGUAAAGGGUGCGUAGGCGGCGCGGUAAGUCGGGUGUGAAAUCUCGGAGCUUAACUUCGAAACUGCAUUCGAUACUGCCGUGCUUGAGGACUGGAGAGGAGACUGGAAUUUACGGUGUAGCGGUGAAAUGCGUAGAUAUCGUAAGGAAGACCAGUGGCGAAGGCGGGUCUCUGGACAGUUCCUGACGCUGAGGCACGAAGGUCAGGGGAGCAAACGGGAUUAGAUACCCCGGUAGUCCUGACAGUAAACGGUGCACGUUUGGUGUGGGAGGAUUCGACCCCUUCUGCGCCGGAGCUAACGCGUUAAACGUGCCGCCUGGGGAGUACGG